CGCCGCGGUAAAACCAGCUCCCCGAGUGGUCAGGACGAUUAUUGGGCCUAAAGUAUCCGUAGCCGGCUCCGUAGAUCCCCUGUCAAAUUCACCGGCCCAACCGGUGAGCCGCAGAGGAUAUCGCGGGGCUAGGAGGCGGGAGAGGCGGACGGUACUCCGUGGGUAGGGGUAAAAUCCACUGAUCCACGGAAGACCACCAGUGGCGAAGGCGGUCCGCCAGAACGCGCUCGACGGUGAGGGAUGAAAGCUGGGGGAGCGAACCGGAUUAGAUACCCGGGUAGUCCCAGCUGUAAACGAUGCGGGCUAGGUGAUGGAGCGGUCAUGUACCGUUCCGGUGCCGCAGGGAAGCCGUUAAGCCCGCCGCCUGGGGAGUACGGCUGCAAGGCUGAAACUUAAAGGAAUUGGCGGGGGAGCACA
RNAcentral lists this ribosomal RNA (417 nucleotides) under uncultured archaeon. Its description in RNAcentral is "bacterial SSU rRNA". It matches the Rfam family "Archaeal small subunit ribosomal RNA", at positions 463 to 880 of the family's 1478-position model. The record is from RNAcentral.